GGUUCGAUGGCGUAGUUGGUUAUCGCAUCUGUCUAACACUGAACAUAGCGGUUGGCAAGCCUAAUUUGCACAGAAGGUCCCCGGUUCGAGCCCGGGUCGAAUCA
Gymnopus androsaceus JB14 is the source of this 104-nucleotide non-coding RNA. The record is from the annotation of a GenBank genome assembly. NCBI's taxonomy places the organism in Eukaryota, Fungi, Basidiomycota, Agaricomycetes, Agaricales, Omphalotaceae.